Drosophila hydei is the source of this 4071-nucleotide RNA transcript. It is a transcript of the gene named period circadian protein, with no coding region annotated. The record is from RefSeq and is a predicted model, not a curated record. The transcript has 9 exons. NCBI's taxonomy places the organism in Eukaryota, Metazoa, Arthropoda, Insecta, Diptera, Drosophilidae.
CUUCAACAAGUAGGUCGAGAGCAACGGGCAGAACACAGUUUAAAAUCUUGAAUCAAGCUAAAACUGUUUUAAGCUAACGCAAACGGUAUUGAACUACAUAAGCAUACAUACGUAUCAAUAUUUGUUUGUUUUUUUAAUUUUUUUUUUUUGUGAUAGUGCAAUAAUUAAGUAUAUGCUACAAAUGAAUAUAUGUAUUUUAAAAGAAAAAGCGCACACAACAAUUAAAUUGGCUGAAAAGCUUUACGAAUACUUUUGAAACUUUCUAAAAGUGAUUUAUUGAAGGAAUAUUUAUUGAAAUGGAAGGAGAAUCGACAGAAUCAACACAUAAUACCAAGGUGUCCGAUUCGGCAUACUCCAACAGCUGCAGCAACAGUCAGUCACAGCGCAGUGGCAGCUCGAAGUCGCGUUUAAGUGGCAGCCACUCAUCCGGCAGCAGUGGCUAUGGCGGCAAGCCCUCGACUCAGGCCAGCAGCAGCGAUAUGAUCAUCAAGCGGAAUAAGGAGAAAACGCGUAAGAAGAAGAAGGCGAAAUGCACGAUCCAAACAACGACGGUCACGUCGCUGGAGAACAAAGAUGAGCAGUUGCAGCCAAAGCCCGGAAGUUCGGUUGGCUGUGAGCAGCUGCAGGAGUUGCAGGAAACGCAACAGCUGUGCGAGCCGCCGGCAAGCGAUCAGCAACAGCUGAGCGAACAGCUGCUCACUGUGGAUGACAGCGAGGCGACUAAACAGCAAAUCGAUCAGGUCCAACAGCUGCCCACGGCUGUGCCCCUCUCCUCCAGCUGUAGCCUGCAGCCGGGCAAUAUUCCAGUUGCAUCGAGCCAUGGCCAAAUCAGCGGCAGCAGCGGCUGCGUCAAGUCGGACAAGGCAUACGAAUCGUUGCCGAGUAAACUGGAAUCGAUGGCAGCUGGCGUGGGCAAGCAGCAGAUCCAGGAGCGGACUAAGGAGGACAGCUUCUGUUGUGUCAUCUCUAUGCACGAUGGCGUUGUUCUGUAUACCACGCCCAGCAUUACGGACGUCUUGGGCUUUCCACGUGACAUGUGGCUAGGUCGUUCGUUUAUUGAUUUUGUACAUCUGAAGGAUCGGGCGACAUUUGCCAGUCAAAUUACGACAGGCAUACCCAUCGCCGAGUCACGUGGCUGCAUGCCAAAGGAUGCGAGAAGCACUUUUUGUGUCAUGCUGCGACGUUAUCGGGGCCUCACCUCGGGUGGCUUCGGUGUGAUUGGGCGGGCUGUCAACUAUGAGCCUUUCCGUUUGGGUUUGACAUUUAGGGAAGCGCCGGAGGAGGCCCGACCGGACAACUAUAUGGUAUCCAAUGGCGCCAAUAUGCUGCUCGUUAUCUCAGCGACGCCCAUCAAGAGCAGCUAUAAGAUUCCCGAUGAGAUUCUCUCGCCGAAGAGCCCCAAGUUCGCCAUUCGACACACGGCGACGGCGAUCAUCUCCCAUGUGGAUAGCGCUUCGGUCAGUGCACUCGGCUAUUUGCCACAGGAUCUAAUUGGUCGUUCAAUUAUGGAUUUCUAUCAUCACGAGGAUUUGGCGGUCAUGAAGGAUACCUACGAGAAGGUCAUGAAGAAGGGACAAACCGCUGGCUCUUCAUUCUGCAGCAAACCCUAUCGUUUCCUCAUCCAAAACGGUUGCUAUGUUCUCCUCGAAACGGAAUGGACUAGCUUCGUUAAUCCCUGGUCGCGCAAACUGGAAUUCGUUGUGGGACAUCAUCGUGUCUUUCAGGGUCCCAAGCAGUGCAAUGUAUUUGAGAUGGCGCCAACUGUGAAGCCAAAGAUAUCGGAGGAUGCACAAAAUCGGAAUGCGCGCAUCAAGGAGGAUAUUGUUAAGCUGCUGGCAGAGACGGUAUCACGUCCAUCGGAUACCGUUAAGCAGGAGGUGUCGCGUCGCUGCCAGGCGUUGGCCAGCUUCAUGGAAACGCUGAUGGAUGAGGUGACGCGGGCUGAUCUCAAGCUGGAGCUGCCCCAUGAGAACGAGUUGACCGUGUCGGAGCGUGAUAGCGUGAUGCUGGGCGAAAUAUCGCCGCAUCACGACUACUAUGACAGUAAGAGAUCAACUGAGACGCCGCCCACCUACAAUCGGCUUAACUAUAACGAGAACCUGCUGCGUUUUUUUAACAGCAAGCCUGUCACCGCGCCCGUGGAACUCGAUCCGCCCAAAGUGGAAUCAUCCUAUGUGAGUAGCGCCCGGGAAGACGCACGCAGCACUCUGAGUCCCGUACACGGAUUCGAGGGUAGCGGCGGCAGUGGAUCAUCUGGAAAUUUUACAACCGGCAGCAAUGUCCGGAUGAGCAGUGUAACAAACACUAGCAAUGCCGGCACCGGCACCUCGGCCGGUGACAAUUCCGCCGGCGGCAAUGGCAGCGGCAAUAGCAACAGCGCCCCGGCCGUCACGGUUACCCUAACUGAAUCGCUGCUGAACAAGCACAACGAUGAAAUGGAGAAGUUCAUGUUGAAGAAACAUCGCGAACUGCGCGGACGCAACGGCGAGAAGAGCAAGAAAUCGGCUAACGAAAAGAUGUUCGAGUACACGGGACCAGGACACGGGCACGGCAUGAAACGCGGCGGUUCUCAUUCGUGGGAGGGCGAGGCCAACAAGCCCAAACAGCAGCUAACGCUCCCAACCAAUGUGGGUGUUGGCGUCAGCGUCGGUGUCGGCGUGGGCGUGCCCGUGCAAGAUACGCUCUCCAAAUGGCAGACACCGAACGCGCCCAACAAUCAGUUCGUUCCGGGCAGCUUGAAUUGCGCACAGAACAUCAAUUUGUGGCCGCCCUUCUCGCUGGGCAUUACAACGCCCUCGGGGCACAGGAGCCACACGGCUGUGGCCCAGCGCAGCUUUUCGCCGCAGCAUAGUCUCUUUCCCGCCUUCUACUAUAUACCGGCACCGUUGGCCAAUGCCACGACAGCGGCGGCCAGCGUCACUCCGCAGCGCAGUCACAAGGCCUGCGAGCAGCCGAGCACCUCGCAGCAGAGCGCAGCAGCGACGGCAAUGCCACUGCAGUAUAUGGCCGGCGUUAUGUAUCCGCAUCCGUCGCUCUUCUAUACGCAUCCAGCGGCAGCUGCUGCCACAGCCAUGAUGUACCAGCCGAUGCCGUUCUCCAGUGUCACCAAUACCCUGCAGCUGCCGGAUCGCUCCAGUGGCUCACAGUCCAGCUACACACAGCCUGGCUAUGCGGCACAACAGUCUCCACCUGCUUCGUCUUCCAAGACACCGGGCGCCUUCCAUUCCGUGACGCCAACACAUCAGCAGAAAGCCUCGUCGCAGGCGACAUCCGUUAAGGCGGAACCUGGUUCCAACUUGGCGCCAUCGGAUACGUCCAAAAAGGAUAUACACGACUCGCCGAUAGCCUCGGUCACCGGCGAAGGCUACUCCUCCGAUCAGCCCAGCAAUCCGACCAAUCUAAAGAAGUACACGGACAGCAAUGGCAACAGCGACGACAUGGAUGGCUCCAGUUUCUCCUCCUUCUACUCGUCCUUCAUCAAGACAACGGAUGGCUCCGAUAGCCCGCCCGAUAACGACAAGGAGACCAAACAUCGCAAGAUCAAGUCCGUCAUGCAGUCGGAUAACAAAAUCGUGGAGCAUCCGGAGGAGGAUCAAACCCAACACGGCGAUGGAUAGCAGAUGAAGGCACAGCUGCAGCUGUGCCCGUUGCUUAAAGCCAGUUGCAGCUUUUAAUCGAGCUGCACUUUUGGUCCGGUCCAGUCCAGAGUAGCCCAAAACGCCACGCUCAUUGAAUGUCCAAGCACUGCUUAGAGUUUUCCAUAUGCAUGUGUAACGCUCUAACUAGACUUGUGUUGGAUGAAGUCGAAGAUGCUUUCAGAUCUUGAGAUGCAAAGAAAUGUGCUCGACUGGGCUGAUACCCUGUGACCAAAUAUGUAAUCAGCUUUUGCUCAAAACACACUCACAUCCACAAACUAUCUAUAUACACAUAUAUAAAUUUUAUACUUAAGGCUGUGUUUGUUAACGUGGCUUCACACUACGGAACAGUUCCUAAGUAACUUUCCAUCUAAGAAUAUACAAAGUUUGACGGAGCUUAAAUAUACGCAAGGCUCUUACCUUAUAAAACCAAAUA